UACGUAGGGGGCAAGCGUUGUCCGGAAUCAUUGGGCGUAAAGCGCGUGUAGGCGGUCCGGUAAGUCCGCUGUGAAAGUCCAGGGCUCAACCCUGGAAUGCCGGUGGAUACUGUCGGGCUCGAAUCCGGAAGAGGUGAGUGGAAUUCCUGGUGUAGCGGUGAAAUGCGCAGAUAUCAGGAGGAACACCGAUGGCGAAGGCAGCUCUCUGGGCCCAAACUGACGCUCAGGUGCGAAAGCGUGGGGAGCGAACGGG
This 253-nucleotide ribosomal RNA is filed under the name uncultured bacterium. RNAcentral's name for it is "partial 16S ribosomal RNA". It matches the Rfam family "Bacterial small subunit ribosomal RNA", at positions 524 to 776 of the family's 1533-position model. The record is from RNAcentral.